CUGCUGUGCUAAACAGCAACCUGGAGAGGAAAGGGUUCGUUUGGCUUACGUGUCAGGAUCAUAGUCCAUCACGGAGUCCAUCACCGAGAGCGGUGAAGCUGAGCAACUCUCAAUGGAGAAAAGCUGCAACAGCCACUUCUGAGACCAGACCAGCCUCCUGAAAGGCGCAGGAACCAGCUGAACUCCCUGGAAGAGGUUUAGAGCAACAAACGCCCGACAUGUUGAACUGCCUGCAGGCUGUGCAGUGUGCUCUGGGUUCCUGGCUCUGUGAACUGUCAUCUGUGCUGGGGUGGGCUUUGCUGAUACAGCUGUCUGUGAGUCAUUUCUGCUUCUGUAAAUAGCCCUUCACCCAUAUUCCUGUAAGUAACUCCAGUAAAACCUAUUGGUUCAACAAGUGGGA
Mus musculus (house mouse) is the source of this 400-nucleotide long non-coding RNA. RefSeq annotates it as predicted gene, 38962. The transcript is spliced from 2 exons. The record is from RefSeq and is a predicted model, not a curated record. Lineage: Eukaryota; Metazoa; Chordata; Mammalia; Rodentia; Muridae.